UUAAAUUGAAGAGUUUGAUCAUGGCUCAGAUUGAACGCUGGCGGCAGGCCUAACACAUGCAAGUCGAACGGUAACAGGAAGCAGCUUGCUGCUUCGCUGACGAGUGGCGGACGGGUGAGUAAUGUCUGGGAAACUGCCUGAUGGAGGGGGAUAACUACUGGAAACGGUAGCUAAUACCGCAUAACGUCGC
RNAcentral lists this ribosomal RNA (190 nucleotides) under Escherichia coli. RNAcentral describes it as "partial 16S ribosomal RNA". It matches the Rfam family "Bacterial small subunit ribosomal RNA", at positions 1 to 182 of the family's 1533-position model. Lineage: Bacteria; Pseudomonadati; Pseudomonadota; Gammaproteobacteria; Enterobacterales; Enterobacteriaceae. The record is from RNAcentral.